Molecule: long non-coding RNA, 5806 nt
Organism: Scatophagus argus
Lineage: Eukaryota; Metazoa; Chordata; Actinopteri; Scatophagidae
Exons: 3
Source: RefSeq, a predicted model, not a curated record
UUGGAAGUAAGGGGCCUAACCCAACACCUGAAAAACCCCCAUACAGAGGUAUGUCUGGAUACUUCUGUCUAUAUAGUGUAAAUCACGUGUGUUUAUAUCACGUCUCCUAUUUGUAAGGCAUUACAUUAAAAUAGUUCACACAAAUGUCUCUGUAUUAAAUGGUCAGGAUCAUUGGCUUGUAGAACAGUAGUACUGGUUAUGUUUACAGGGAUUGUAAGAUAAGACAAGAUAGGCCUUUAUUAGUCCUGUACUGGGGCAAAAAUAAAGGUGAAGGUAGGUCGAGCAAAUUGUGUCUAAAUCUGAAUAAUUUUAUGGCUUGUGAAGAAUCUGACUCAGUCUAAUUCUUGAAUCCCAUAGGGUAUACAUGAGCAGGUUUCAGGAGGACUUUGUGCAGGUCUGUUACUGACAUGUAUGACUGAGCCCUUUAACUCUGAAAUGCUGCGGCUUCAGCCCCUCCGGCCCCUGAGCCUGUAGUAUAUACACCCAUUCUCUAUAGUGAAGCACCAAUAACACAAACAAAGUAGCAUUAGGGAAAUUAAGAUAUCUGGAAUCUAAACAAAAACAAAAUUUGAACCAUGGCAUUAAUGCCAUGAAUUGCCAAAUAUCCCGGAAGACUGUAUCCAAACAUUUGAGCUCGGAAGUUUAUUCUACAUCUUUGGGAACAGUAUUAUAAACCUUGCAAGCUGACCUUUAAGCUUAGUUCACUCUAGUAUAUUAACAAAAUGUAUACAAUACACUACUCUCCACUACAACUCUGUGUGAUCUAAACUUAACACAUAAAUAAUAGAUUCAAUAGUUACACAACUACAUAACUCUAAGAGCCUUUUAUAUUGUUUAUAAUGUCCAGAUUUAUAUUCUGAUCAGCAUUUUCUUGUCCCAUAUGGCUCCAUAUUUCAUACUCCAUGUUCCAUGGUCAGUUUUCAAUUACUCACAGAUGUUUACAAGCCUACUUACUACAUUGUACAUAUUUGACUUCUUUCUCCGUUUGAUGUAAUUUAUCAGUUAUAAUGCUCCUUUUUUUUCAUUUUUGUAUUCUUUUAUAUAAUAAAUACAUAAUUAUCAGUCUAUGAAGACGGAUAUGAAGCAACUGACGAAUGCUAAAGUACAUGUGACUAAAUUUCUUUUUAUCUUAAACUUGUCAACAAAAAAGAUCAUUAAAGAUGACUGCUUUUUGACAAAAUAAAUUAAUAAAUAACAGUUGAAUGUCACUGGAGAAAGAAAAGAACAAAAAUACAAAACAUAUAGGAGUAGAUCUGGUCUUGCAGAUCAGCGUUUGAACGAAAAGGAGUGGAGAUGCCGGGGAUUGAACCCGGGGCCUCAUACAUGCAAAGCAUGCGCUCUACCACUGAGCUACAUCCCCUACUGGAAGCACACGGCAUGGUAAGGGCUAUAUAUAGAUGCCAUCGAUUCUGUGACUCUGCAACAGGAGACGACAUUUCAGCAAGUUAUUUUUGUGGGGCUUGGGACCAAGUUAUGUAAUUUAGGGUCACAAUUUUAUCCCGGUUUCCACCCUUGACCCAGCGAUUACUUACGGCAUUUCUUCUCUCUGUCAGUCAGUUGUGUCACUUCUGAACGUGUUCAUAAAAUCUCCUAAGCGCUCUACCUCCACAGGCUGGUGCUUUGUAAACAAAAGAAGUGCACUGACGUCGGGGUGAAUGAAUGGAAAGGAAGCUGGUGUAUUUGUAGCUAAGUUUUCUUUGAUUUAAUCCUUGUUUGGUGCUAUUUAUAGCCUGCCGGUCGUGUUUUCGUUUCAGUCAGGCUCGCCUUCUUCCCACGCAAACUUAGAGAGAACGGAACCCUUUGGUGAGGAUGGGGGGCAAAUGUCAGGAAAGGCAGAUGGACUAGUAAACCUACUACAUAAUGUUCCCCCAAAUUCAGUUCUUUCUCAUCACCCAAGACACCCUGGUCUUUGGGGGAUUGAGAAAAGCUCCCUGAUUGUUUUUCAUCCUCCAGGGAAGCGUGAACGAGGGGCUGUCACCCCCCCCCGGAGAGCACAGUCUGUCCUCACUCAUGUUGUGUUUAUCAGCACACCCCUUGCCAAGGACACUACUUCCAGGCUCUGUUUGCUGAUGCCUUGUAGGGACAGACCCAUGGGAUGCACGCAUGGCAUGAAGGCUUUAGCAGGGCUGAAGGAGUGAACAGGAAGUAAGGAACAAGAGACAGGGUGAGGGACUACCUUACCCCUCCAUCUGCAGAAUGAUGAACACCCUCAGAAGAAGGGAGGCACGGGCACUGGUUGAUCUCAUCUAUGUUGUUGUUAUGUCAAUUUGGAUUAGUAACAGGAACCUAAACACUGGGGCUGUGCUGAGCAAGGAAUAGCACACAAGCGUGAUGUGUGUGUGUGUGGAGCAGGGGUUAUCUUGGGACUGUUGAGGGCAGCAUGUGCAGACAGGCUGUAUGUCAUAUGAGAUGCAGAAAGAAAUUCUUUAUCUAAGACCACAGACCUCCGGACGUUACAGUGGACAGUACCAAAGGAAAGAUGAUGUGUUAAUGUGAAAACACACAGUAUGCAAGUGAAAAUCACACAUUACAUGAUUAAAUUGUUAAUAGUGUCACGUUUUACUGAGAUGGUGGUUUUGGCUAACUUUGAGGAGUCUUGAAAAUGUCACAUAAAGUAGUAGAUCCCUAUUGUGAUUGAUGUAGAACAAACGCUGAGUUUAUAAACAAGUUAUUAAGUUAAUUUCUUGUUGAUUCACUGAUUGGUUCAUCAACAUAAUAUUAUUUAAAGUCAAAUCUUAAUCUGAAAAGUACAAAAUGAUGUAAAAAUUAUUGGCUGAUGAUGUUUCCCCCCGAAAUAUAGUUAAAUGUAAAUGUGUGCAGUUGUCAUGUAUGACACCUGGUAAAUACAUUUCAAUCCAUCUCUCUGCUCAAGGAGUAUUCGAACACUGUUCACUUGGUGCAGAGUUUGAAAGACAGAUUUGGUCAUAUAAAUAAAAAGUAAACAAUAUAACAAUGUCACUCAGCAGUAUAUUCAUAUAAUGCUCAAUAAUGUGCAGCUCACAGUGGAGAAGGCAUGUAAAAGAGGUGGCUCCCUCUUCAGCUUCUUUUAUCAUCAACACCAGAAAAAAAAAUCAACGUGUUUAAUUCAGAAUGUUUAUGAACGGUUAUGUUUAUGUUAUGUUUGUGAUGUUGAACGAGACACACCCCACUGCUGCUGAGAAGGCUGCGACUAAGAAUACUUUAAGCUCUGAGCUAAGUGCAGCAAGAAAAGCCCCAGAGAAUUUCUUUCUUGCACAUAACUCCCUGUGAAGCUACCACUAGAGGCUCUAGUAAUGAACCCACCAGCAGAAUCCUUUGGUCCUCUGCUCACCUUUCCUGUAGCACUACACACACACACACACACACCACCCCCAUCAGUAUGAACUGGGAUCAUUUUGAUGAUCUUCAUCUCGUACCAUCAGCAGAGUACUGUAGCUGUACAGAGAUAUGGAACCUGAACAGCCCCCAUGUCAUAUACAGGUAAUGUACACGGCUGCUGGCACUGUAAGGUAGUGCUAACGCAGGAAUGAGGUCUGACCCAGUAUCUUCUGGGGCUGUCGUCUUAUCAUUUGUCAGCAGCCAGCUAUGCUGGGGCAGAGAGGCCGGAGAGAAGAGAGGAAAGAGAGGCACCAAAAAUAAAGGCUGUGGAGCACAUGAAAAGGAGAUAUAACAAGGACCUCACAGAAGGGAGAAGAGUGGACACAUCUUUACUGUUUUCUUUUGCUUUUCUUUUGUGCUUUUGUUGUUUCCAGAGUUUCUCCGUUUAAAAUGAAUCCAUACAGAUAGCUAGAUUCUGUUGCUAUCUGCUCGCUAACAAGUUACUUCAUUGUCUGUUUCAAGUGUCAACACACACUACAGACCUCCUAAGUCAACUUGUCCAUUGCCCCACCUCUGUCUUUAACCACAAACAAAACAGAAGCCAUUUAAAUUUUUACACAUGCUUUGGAUAGCUGUGUCAUGUGGGGCAAGGACAGGCAUGCUGCUAAACAAGAGCUGCACGUGUUGUGUGUGUGUGUUUGUGUCCAUGUUCAUGAAAAUGGACAGAAGAAAGAGAGAGAGAGAGAGAGAGAGAGAGAGAGAGAGAGAGAGAGAGAGAGAGUGACCUUUCACCUAUUUGUCCAACCAGCUUGGAAAACUGUGGGAAUGCUGUGAAGCCUGGCGACUUGUAAAAGCUCUGGUAUGGAUAAAAGAGAGGUAGACAAUAGGAAGCUGUAACAAGUGUAUUCAAGCCUCACGUAUUUGCAAGGUGAUUGUGAUCACAUCCAUUAAAGGAUAAUUGCUACAAAUAUUUUGAAUGGCAUGUGUUGUGAAUCAUGUCAUCGGGUACGAGACGAACAUGACAUAACAAACUCCUCUCAGCCUGUGACUUCAUAUGAUUAGUUUGAGAGCACAAACAUUAACACAAGCACAGAUGCACAGACUGUUCUUGCUAAAUGUUUGUGUUCACUGUGUAACCAGGGUUUGAAUAUCAUCAUCACCACAGGCUGAAUACGUGUCGUUGUGUGUGUGCGUGUGUGUGUGUGCGUCUGCAUGAGUUGCCUAGCACCUGGUAACUGUAUAGGUCGAAACCUUAUCAUUCUGCCUUUAGAAAGCUCAUGCUGUGCUGGACUCUUGGUUAUCGUCUCUCACCAGUGUGGUAAUAACACGACAAAGUCAAAGUCUGUGGCAGAAAAAGUAGCUUAAUCCAUGUGAGACACAGGCAUCUGGAGACACAACCCUGUUAGGUGUGGCUCAGAUGAUUUCAGUUUGCAUUCAAGACAGCCUGUGACACAGCCAGGUAUUAUUGAUUACUCACACACAUUCAUGUGUAUUAUGAAACAUGACAUGACAGCACAGGAAACUGAGUGCGAUGAACAGACCUUAAGCAAAGCAAUGGAAUUUUGGCUUCAUUGUCAUAAAGUACACACCCAGAGGUCUGCCAAUUAACUGAGCUCAAAGUUAGUGUACAGUAGACUUUACUCAGAAUAAGCAUUGUCCUUAUAGUGAGUAAAGUAUUCCAUAUUUAGUAUGGGUAUUCUACUAUCCAUAUGCAGUAUUUCUUCAGCGCUUACUGUAUUUUCUUGACUAGUAUCCAAUUGUUCCUUUAGGCAGCAGGAGCAAAUUGAAAGCUUAUCUUCAACAAAAAAACACCAUAACAUUUAAAUGGUAUAAUAAAAUAAAUAUUUUACUAUAAAUAUACAUGCACCAGGAUUGCAAACCAACCUCAACUGGCAUAACACUUUAUUUUAUUCCAAGAAUACAGUCAUAACUAAAGACACUAUAGAUUUCUAUCAUUUACCAGGUCAAACUCACAGAUUAUUCCAAAAUUCAAACUGAUUCUAGUUGUAAAAAUUAAAAUAUGGUACAUUACAGGGUAAUGUGUGCCUGAGUGAGCUGUCCAGGUCUGUACAGAUUAGUGUGGUUCCUCACGGAUAUUGAAAGCUAGUUGUGAUGACCAGACUUUAGAGAUAAUUAGCCUAUAAAUAAUGCAGUUGUUUCCAGCUUUUCAAAAGAAUUCUCACUCUAACAAUAAGCCCUGCUGCAUACUGAUGUGCAUAUGUGCAGACUUGAUCCAAACACAAAAUGGGAUGAUCUUUCACCUAGAAAAACACACAGAUAAUUUAACAAAUAUACUCAGUCAUAUCAACAGUCACCAGUUUGCACAAUCUGCUGUAAUAAAAGGCACAGGGUAUCCUGAAAGCUUUACAUACUGACCACCAGGGGUUUUCAUAACCUCUCCACAGCUCAUUGGUUACUCAAAUGCUGCAUUCAGAAAAAGCACAUCCAAUUGGCUGAUGUAGACUGAGUGGCACGUGAAGGUCCUCCCCACCGAGGCGGAGUGAAAAGA